CCUACGGGGGGCAGCAGUGGGGAAUAUUGCACAAUGGGGGGAACCCUGAUGCAGCGACGCCGCGUGAGUGAAGAAGUAUUUCGGUAUGUAAAGCUCUAUCAGCAGGGAAGAAAAUGACGGUACCUGACUAAGAAGCCACGGCUAACUACGUGCCAGCAGCCGCGGUAAUACGUAGGGGGCAAGCGUUAUCCGGAUUUACUGGGUGUAAAGGGAGCGCAGACGGCUGUGCAAGUCUGGAGUGAAAGGCGGGGGCCCAACCCCCGGACUGCUGUGGAAACUGUAAAGCUUGAGUGCAGGAGAGGUAAGCGGAAUUCCUAGGGUAGCGGUGAAAUGCGUAGAUAUUAGGAGGAACACCAGUGGCGAAGGCGGCUUACUGGACUGCAACUGACGUUGAGGCUCGAAAGCGUGGGGAGCAAACAGGAUUAGAUACCCGUGUAGUC
Molecule: ribosomal RNA, 440 nt
Filed under: uncultured bacterium
Lineage: Bacteria
Description: partial 16S ribosomal RNA
Rfam family: Bacterial small subunit ribosomal RNA
Source: RNAcentral